Molecule: microRNA precursor, 71 nt
Filed under: Gorilla gorilla gorilla (western lowland gorilla)
Lineage: Eukaryota; Metazoa; Chordata; Mammalia; Primates; Hominidae
Description: miRNA (ENSGGOG00000032409.2)
Source: RNAcentral
UGGCUGCAAAAGUAAUUGUGAUUUUUGCCAUUACUUUUAUGGCAAAACCUGCAAUUACUUUUGCACCAAAC